Molecule: small RNA, 261 nt
Filed under: Callorhinchus milii (elephant shark)
Lineage: Eukaryota; Metazoa; Chordata; Chondrichthyes; Chimaeriformes; Callorhinchidae
Description: sRNA (ENSCMIG00000010489.1)
Source: RNAcentral
CAUAAAUAUUUUAUAGUCUUUGUUAUGACUCAUCUCAGUGGUGACUGUAGGCUCAGUUUUGCUGUACAGUUCAUCAACUUCCCAGCAUGCUGUAUAAUGAAUGUUUCACUUACACUGUUAAUUGCCAAACAAUGGUUCCUUCAACCUUUCACCUUUACGUUUCACAACAUUAUCUCCAAUUGCUGGUUUGGUUGCACUUCAAAUUUCAACUGGUAAAAAAUUAAGGAUACAACCAGUGAUGUUCUCUUAUCUUGAAUGCCU